GUGCUUGCUUCAGCAGCACAUAUGCUAAAAUUGAAAUGAUGCAGAGAUUAGCAUGGCCCCUGAGCAAGGACGACACGCAAAUUCAUUAAGUGUUCCAUAUUUUU
Molecule: small nuclear RNA, 104 nt
Filed under: Castor canadensis (American beaver)
Lineage: Eukaryota; Metazoa; Chordata; Mammalia; Rodentia; Castoridae
Source: RNAcentral